CCUACGGGUGGCUGCAGUGGGGAAUCUUGCACAAUGGGCGAAAGCCUGAUGCAGCGACGCCGCGUGCGGGAUGACGGCCUUCGGGUUGUAAACCGCUUUCAGCAGGGACGAAAAUGACGGUACCUGCAGAAGAAGCCCCGGCCAACUACGUGCCAGCAGCCGCGGUAAUACGUAGGGGGCGAGCGUUGUCCGGAUUUAUUGGGCGUAAAGAGCUCGUAGGCGGUUUGGUAAGUCGGAUGUGAAAUCUCCACGCUCAACGUGGAAGGGCCAUUCGGUACUGCCAUGACUAGAGUCCGGUAGAGGAAUGUGGAAUUCCCGGUGUAGCGGUGAAAUGCGCAGAGAUCGGGAGGAACACCCGUAGCGAAGGCGGCAUUCUGGGCCGGUACUGACGCUGAGGAGCGAAAGCGUGGGGAGCGAACAGGAUUAGAUACCCCAGUAGUC
Molecule: ribosomal RNA, 441 nt
Filed under: uncultured bacterium
Lineage: Bacteria
Description: partial 16S ribosomal RNA
Rfam family: Bacterial small subunit ribosomal RNA
Source: RNAcentral